This 404-nucleotide ribosomal RNA is filed under the name uncultured eukaryote. RNAcentral's name for it is "bacterial SSU rRNA". It matches the Rfam family "Eukaryotic small subunit ribosomal RNA", at positions 592 to 1016 of the family's 1831-position model. The record is from RNAcentral.
CAAUAGCGUAUAUUAAAGUUGUUGCAGUUAAAAGCUCGUAGUUGGAUUUCUGUCAUUUGCAUCUAACACUUCUUAACUGAUGUUGUUUAGUUUGCUGUGAUAUUUGUUUGAUGCACUAAAUUCAUUUUAGUUGUAGAAACAUUUACUUUGAGUAAAUUAGAGUGUUUCAAGUAAGUUGUUGCUAUGAAUACUGCAGCAUGGAAUAAUAAGAUAAGAUUUUGGUUUUAUUUAUUGGUCAUAAAACUAAAGUAAUGAUUAAUAGGAACAGAUGGGGCAGUUCUGUAUUCAACAGUCAGAGGUGAAAUUCUUAGAUUUGUUGAAGACGAACUAAUGCGAAAGCAUUUGUCAAAAAUGUUUUCAUUAGUCAAGAACGAAAGUUAGGGGAUCGAAGACGAUCAGAUACC